This 391-nucleotide unclassified non-coding RNA is filed under the name soil metagenome. RNAcentral describes it as "partial contains 5.8S ribosomal RNA, internal transcribed spacer 2, and large subunit ribosomal RNA". The stretch from base 1 to 122 matches the Rfam family "5.8S ribosomal RNA", at positions 35 to 154 of the family's 154-position model. The record is from RNAcentral.
GAUGAAGAACGUAGCGAAAUGCGAUACUUGGUGCGAAUUGCAGAAUCCCGUGAACCAUCGAGUCUUUGAACGCAAGUUGCGCCCGAAGCCAUUAGGCCGAGGGCACGCCUGCCUGGGCGUCACACGUCGUUGCCCCCCCAUCUACUCCUUCGGGAUUGCGGGGGGCGGAUGAUGGCCUCCCGUGCGCCUUGUCGCGCGGUUGGCAUAAAUGCCAAGUCCUCGGCGACGCACGCCACGACAAUCGGUGGUUGCGAAACCUCGGUUGCCCGUCGUGUGCGGUCGUCGCGCAUCGAGGGCUCGAAAAAAUUGUCGGGCUCCGGCUCGGCUUUCAACGCGACCCCAGGUCAGGCGGGGUUACCCGCUGAAUUUAAGCAUAUCAAUAAGCGGAGGA